RNAcentral lists this signal recognition particle RNA (99 nucleotides) under Acidobacteria bacterium RIFCSPLOWO2_12_FULL_54_10. RNAcentral describes it as "signal recognition particle sRNA small type". It matches the Rfam family "Bacterial small signal recognition particle RNA". Rfam says of the family: The signal recognition particle (SRP) is a universally conserved ribonucleoprotein involved in the co-translational targeting of proteins to membranes. Archaeal SRP consists of a 7S RNA and homologues of the eukaryotic SRP19 and SRP54 proteins. In most bacteria, the SRP consists of a 4.5S RNA and the Ffh protein (a homologue of the eukaryotic SRP54 protein). The record is from RNAcentral. Lineage: Bacteria; Pseudomonadati; Acidobacteriota.
CUUCGGGCCCUGUGCAAUGAAAACUUGCAAACCCCGCCAGGUCCGGAAGGAAGCAACGGUAGCAGGCGCUUUCGUGUGCCACAGACCAUCCCGAAGUCU